This 431-nucleotide ribosomal RNA is filed under the name uncultured bacterium. RNAcentral's name for it is "bacterial SSU rRNA". It matches the Rfam family "Bacterial small subunit ribosomal RNA", at positions 917 to 1345 of the family's 1533-position model. The record is from RNAcentral.
GGACCCGCACAAGCAGUGGAGCAUGUGGUUUAAUUCGAAGAUACGCGCAGAACCUUACCAACACUUGACAUGUUCGUCGCGAAACUAAGAGAUUAGUUUCUUCAGUUCGGCUGGACGAAACACAGGUGCUGCAUGGCUGUCGUCAGCUCGUGUCGUGAGAUGUUGGGUUAAGUCCCGCAACGAGCGCAACCCACGUCUUUAGUUGCCAGCAUUUAGUUGGGCACUCUAGAGAGACUGCCGGUGAUAAACCGGAGGAAGGUGUGGAUGACGUCAAGUCAUCAUGCCCCUUACAUCCUGGGCUACACACGUACUACAAUGCUACGGACAAAGGGCAGCAAGUUCGCGAGGACAAGCAAAUCUCAUAAACCGUGGCUCAGUUCAGAUCGUAGGCUGCAACUCGCCUACGUGAAGGAGGAAUCGCUAGUAAUCGC